RNAcentral lists this ribosomal RNA (468 nucleotides) under uncultured bacterium. Its description in RNAcentral is "partial 16S ribosomal RNA". It matches the Rfam family "Bacterial small subunit ribosomal RNA", at positions 28 to 507 of the family's 1533-position model. The record is from RNAcentral.
GACGAACGCUGGCGGCGUGCUUAACACAUGCAAGUCGAACGGAAAGGCCCUGCUUUUGUGGGGUGCUCGAGUGGCGAACGGGUGAGUAACACGUGAGUAACCUGCCCUUGACUUUGGGAUAACUUCAGGAAACUGGGGCUAAUACCGGAUAGGAGCUCCUGCUGCAUGGUGGGAGUUGGAAAGUUUCGGCGGUUGGGGAUGGACUCGCGGCUUAUCAGCUUGUUGGUGGGGUAGUGGCUUACCAAGGCUUUGACGGGUAGCCGGCCUGAGAGGGUGACCGGCCACAUUGGGACUGAGAUACGGCCCAGACUCCUACGGGAGGCAGCAGUGGGGAAUAUUGCACAAUGGGCGGAAGCCUGAUGCAGCAACGCCGCGUGCGGGAUGACGGCCUUCGGGUUGUAAACCGCUUUCGCCUGUGACGAAGCGUGAGUGACGAUAAUGGGUAAAGAAGCACCGGCUAACUACGUG